RNAcentral lists this ribosomal RNA (238 nucleotides) under Clostridioides difficile. Its description in RNAcentral is "partial 16S ribosomal RNA". It matches the Rfam family "Bacterial small subunit ribosomal RNA", at positions 1285 to 1522 of the family's 1533-position model. Lineage: Bacteria; Bacillati; Bacillota; Clostridia; Peptostreptococcales; Peptostreptococcaceae. The record is from RNAcentral.
CUCUCAGUUCGGAUUGUAGGCUGAAACUCGCCUACAUGAAGCUGGAGUUACUAGUAAUCGCAGAUCAGAAUGCUGCGGUGAAUGCGUUCCCGGGUCUUGUACACACCGCCCGUCACACCACGGGAGUUGGAGACGCCCGAAGCCGAUUAUCUAACCUUUUGGAAGAAGUCGUCGAAGGUGGAAUCAAUAACUGGGGUGAAGUCGUAACAAGGUAGCCGUAUCGGAAGGUGCGGCUGGA